AUGCCAGCUGUGAAACAAAGUGAUACUGCUAGGUUUGCACAGGUUUGGUUGCUAUAGAAACAGCAAAACAGUAAGAACUGGAAGUCUCACAUUUAAGUUAUAAGCUGUAAAAAAGAACAGACAAAGCCCUGCUGAAAAAUGUGUUUGAGGCUUGAUUGCCCAAAAAACAAUUACACAAAGAAUGAGGUCAACAGCAACAAACUGGAGAGAAAAUUUGAAGCAUCUGCAGCAAGGGGUGUAGAUGCUGAUAUAAUUUGGCAAGUUCUUUACAAGAAUAAUAGAACCCCUUCGCCAUCAAGGAAUUAUGCAAGUGGAACAACUGAGAAAUAAGAUUUAGGACCUCCUAGAGAUGAAGAAAAGCAGGAAGCAACUGUGAUCACCUGAAACCUGAGACCCUGCGCCUUCCUUUGUUUGAGGUAAUUUGCAUCAUCACAGAUCCUCACAGGAGAUGAGAGACUUCAUACCAGCUAUGAACUGACUGCCGAGUAGAGUUUUCCAUCUAUUGACACCUCUGUGAAAUCCUAUGAAAUAUGAACUUUCAUUUCUACCCAGAACUUCUACAAUCUUUUCUCUGAUGCCUGAUGAAGGGUGUUUGUGCCUAAAA
Molecule: long non-coding RNA, 604 nt
Organism: Alligator mississippiensis (American alligator)
Lineage: Eukaryota; Metazoa; Chordata; Crocodylia; Alligatoridae
Exons: 3
Source: RefSeq, a predicted model, not a curated record